This 787-nucleotide ribosomal RNA is filed under the name Alternaria heterospora. RNAcentral describes it as "partial large subunit ribosomal RNA". It matches the Rfam family "Eukaryotic large subunit ribosomal RNA", at positions 94 to 899 of the family's 3401-position model. The record is from RNAcentral. Lineage: Eukaryota; Fungi; Ascomycota; Dothideomycetes; Pleosporales; Pleosporaceae.
UGAAGCGGCAACAGCUCAAAUUUGAAAUCUGGCUCUUUUAGAGUCCGAGUUGUAAUUUGCAGAGGGCGCUUUGGCUUUGGCAGCGGUCCAAGUUCCUUGGAACAGGACGUCACAGAGGGUGAGAAUCCCGUACGUGGUCGCUGGCUAUUGCCGUGUAAAGCCCCUUCGACGAGUCGAGUUGUUUGGGAAUGCAGCUCUAAAUGGGAGGUACAUUUCUUCUAAAGCUAAAUAUUGGCCAGAGACCGAUAGCGCACAAGUAGAGUGAUCGAAAGAUGAAAAGCACUUUGGAAAGAGAGUCAAACAGCACGUGAAAUUGUUAAAAGGGAAGCGCUUGCAGCCAGACUUGCUUACAGUUGCUCAUCCGGGCUUUUGCCCGGUGCACUCUUCUGUAGGCAGGCCAGCAUCAGUUUGGGCGGUAGGAUAAAGGUCUCUGUCACGUACCUCCUUUCGGGGAGGCCUUAUAGGGGAGACGACAUACUACCAGCCUGGACUGAGGUCCGCGCAUCUGCUAGGAUGCUGGCGUAAUGGCUGUAAGCGGCCCGUCUUGAAACACGGACCAAGGAGUCUAACAUCUAUGCGAGUGUUUGGGUGUCAAGCCCGAGCGCGUAAUGAAAGUGAACGGAGGUGGGAACCCGCAAGGGUGCACCAUCGACCGAUCCUGAUGUCUUCGGAAGGAUUUGAGUAAGAGCAUGGCUGUUGGGACCCGAAAGAUGGUGAACUAUGCUUGAAUAGGGUGAAGCCAGAGGAAACUCUGGUGGAGGCUCGCAGCGGUUCUGACGUGCAAAUC